AUGCCCAAGUUCAAUGGAAGCAAUGAUCCGAAAGAGUACCUCUCAUGGGCAUUGAAGGUCGACAAAAUCUUCCGUUUGCACAACUAUGAGGAAGAGAAGAAGAUCGCUAUGGCAUCACUAGAGUUCCAAGACUAUGUGCUCAUAUGGUGGGAACAAGUCCUUGAGCGCCGACAAGCAAGAGGUGAACCUCCAAUCACCACUUGGGCUCAAAUGAAGGAUGUCAUGCGAGCAAGUUUUGUGCCAACCUACUACAACCGUGAUAUCUUCAAGAAGCUACAACUCCUCAAGCAAGGAACAAAGAGUGUUGAAGAAUACUACAAGGAAAUAGAGAUAGCCAUGAUUCGAGCCAAUGUCACAGAAGAUGAUGAGCAAACAAUCGCACGAUUCUUGAAUGGACUCAAUCAUCCCAUCAAGAAGAUCACCGACUUCCAACCCUACUCCAACCUCAUUGAACUCGUGCAUCAAGCGACCAAGGCGGAACGUCAAGUGCAAGAUGACUUCAAGUACGCCAAGUACUCAUCCAAGACCUACGGCUUCUCCAACAAUCAAGCUUCAACAACUCCUACAACAUCUACAUCAACCAAGCCUUCUCCAAGUAGCGAUGACAAGUCAAGUUACAAGAAAACUUCGGCAAGUUCAAGUCAUCUUCCUCCUACUACAAGCAACUUCAAGCCGCGUGCUUCUUCAUCUACUCCGACCGAUGAGACCGUCAAGACAAGCUCCUUAAAGUGUUUCACUUGCGGUGGCCGAGGCCACAAGUCUUAUAAAUGCACAAACAAGCGAACCAUGAUCCUCAACGAUGAUGGCACCUAUGACUCCAUGAGUGAUGAGGAGAUGGAAGCUCUUGAGCAAGUGGCCAUGCACCGGCGCGUGAAUGAGGAUGAAGAUGAGCAAGUCUUUUGUGAUGAGGAUUCGAGCCCCACUCUCAUCGUCUCCAAGGUCUUGACGCUUCAACAACAACAACAAGAAGACCAACGAUGCCACAUCUUCCACACAAAGGUCGGCAUAAAUGGAAGGUCCGUCAAGGUCAUCAUCGACGGAGGUAGUUGCCACAACUUGGCAAGUGAAGAACUAUGCUCCAAGCUUCAAUUGGUCAAGAGGAAGCACCCACACCCCUAUAAGGUUCAAUGGCUAAGUGACUCCGGCACUAUACGAGUUGAGCAUACGGUCCAAGUCUCCUUCAAAAUUGGUGCAUAUGAAGACACAUUGGAGUGUGAUGUGGUCCCCAUGACCGUUUGCCACCUCCUUCUUGGUAGGCCAUGGCAAUUCGAUCGUGGAGUCAUCCACAAUGGGAGCACCAAUCACUAUAGCUUCAAGAUGAAAGGGAAGGAAUAUGUACUACGACCUAUGUCUCCUAGUCAAGUGAUAGCCAACAAGCAAGCCACUAAUCGUGGAGAGAAGAGUGAGAAAGUGAUCCACCCAAAAGUGAGUGAGAGCCACAAGCCAAACUUGAGCGCCUCUUCGCCUAGAGAGAAAAAACUAGUCCUAUUUGCCACAAAAAGUGAGAUGAGAGAAGUGUGUGAGAACCCAUCGAGUGUUAUGCACUUUGUCCUUGUGUGCAAGGAUGGAGAACCAAAAACUAACACCUCUCACGAGCUACCUUUAGUGUUUCAAUCUCUUUUGCAGGAAUUCCAAGAUGUUUUCCCCGAUGAGCUACCUCCGGGUCUACCUCCUCUUCGAGGCAUUGAGCAUCAAAUCGACCUCAUCCCCGGAGCGCCACUUCCAAACAAAGCUCCGUAUCGCGUCAACCCCGAAGAAACAAAGGAGAUCCAACAGAAAGUACAACAACUAAUCGACAACGGUCAUGUACGUGAAAGCUUAAGCCCUUGUGCCGUUCCCGUUAUACUUGUGCCUAAG
This 1857-nucleotide ribosomal RNA is filed under the name Triticum aestivum (bread wheat). RNAcentral describes it as "partial small subunit ribosomal RNA". The record is from RNAcentral. Lineage: Eukaryota; Viridiplantae; Streptophyta; Magnoliopsida; Poales; Poaceae.